GAACGUAAGAGUUUGAUCCUGGCUCAGAUUGAACGCUGGCGGCAUGCCUUACACAUGCAAGUCGAACGGGGACCAGGGGCUUGCCCCUGUUUCUAGUGGCGAACGGGUGAGUAGCGCAUCGGAACAUGCCCGGACGAGGGGGACAGCCCGGCGAAAGCCGGAUUAAUACCGCAUACGCCCCGAGGGGGAAAGCGGGGGACCGCAAGGCCCCGCGCGUCCGGAUUGGCCGAUGCCGGAUUAGCUAGUUGGGGGGGUAAAGGCCCACCAAGGCGACGAUCCGUAGCGGGUCUGAGAGGACGAUCCGCCACACUGGGACUGAGACACGGCCCAGAC
RNAcentral lists this ribosomal RNA (333 nucleotides) under Azoarcus sp. RNAcentral's name for it is "bacterial SSU rRNA". It matches the Rfam family "Bacterial small subunit ribosomal RNA", at positions 1 to 336 of the family's 1533-position model. The record is from RNAcentral. Lineage: Bacteria; Pseudomonadati; Pseudomonadota; Betaproteobacteria; Rhodocyclales; Zoogloeaceae.